GAUGAACGCUAGCGGCAGGCCUAAUACAUGCAAGACGAACGGUAAGUUGAGUAGCAAUACUUAGCCAAGAGUGUCGUACGGGUGCGUAACACGUAUGCAACCUACCCUAUACAGGAGGAUAGCCUAGGGGAAACCUGGAUUAACCCUUCAUAGUAUUAUUGGAUGGCAUCAUUUGAUAAUUAAAACUGAGGUGGUAUAGGAUGGGCAUGCGUCUGAUUAGUUAGUUGGCGGGUAAUGGCCCACCAAGACGAUGAUCAGUAGGGGUUCGUGAGAGGAAGAUCCCCCACACUGGCACUGAGAUAC
This 303-nucleotide ribosomal RNA is filed under the name uncultured bacterium. RNAcentral's name for it is "bacterial SSU rRNA". It matches the Rfam family "Bacterial small subunit ribosomal RNA", at positions 28 to 327 of the family's 1533-position model. The record is from RNAcentral.